CCGGGAGGGGAUAAGGGCGCCACGCCCUGACCCCUCGAUCCCAUCCCCCACUCCUUCCCUCUCUCCCUCCCCACAGAUCUCCCAUGCCCCAAGCACGUCCAUGGCCGCGUCAUCGUCGUUCCCAUGGCCGGAGCCGUCCCCGACCCGUGAGGUUAUGCUCUGCAGCUCCGUUGGCCUCGUCUGCAUCGCCUACAACCUUCGGUUCGAGCUGAAGCCCUCCACAACCUCGCCAUCUGGUCGUCUUCCCCGCCACGGCCACGGCGCCAUCGCCGUCGAUCUCCAUCACCGGCGCCUCCCGGUGGUUCCAGGCACAUCCACGACCUCCCUCGAAACUACGAGACCGACGCUGCUGCUGCCCAGCUCGACUACGGAGUUGACGACCCCUCUCUCUUGCCAGAGCAACCAGGCAAGCCCCCCCCCUUGAUCACCAGAUAUCGCCUAUUCUCCUCUAUACUGCUUGCAUUAGAGUAGUGUAGCAUGU
Molecule: ribosomal RNA, 481 nt
Filed under: Triticum aestivum (bread wheat)
Lineage: Eukaryota; Viridiplantae; Streptophyta; Magnoliopsida; Poales; Poaceae
Description: partial small subunit ribosomal RNA
Source: RNAcentral